Acanthosepion pharaonis is the source of this 113-nucleotide non-coding RNA. The record is from the annotation of a GenBank genome assembly. Lineage: Eukaryota; Metazoa; Mollusca; Cephalopoda; Sepiida; Sepiidae.
UUACGGCCAUAUCACGUUGAACACCGGUUCUCAUACGAUCACCAAGGUUAAGCAAUAUCGGGCCUGAUCAGUAACUAGAUGGGUCACCGAAUGGGAAUAAUAGAUGCUGUAAG